RNAcentral lists this ribosomal RNA (720 nucleotides) under uncultured Staphylococcus sp. Its description in RNAcentral is "bacterial SSU rRNA". It matches the Rfam family "Bacterial small subunit ribosomal RNA", at positions 62 to 764 of the family's 1533-position model. The record is from RNAcentral. Lineage: Bacteria; Bacillati; Bacillota; Bacilli; Caryophanales; Staphylococcaceae.
UCGAGCGAACAGACGAGGAGCUUGCUCCUCUGACGUUAGCGGCGGACGGGUGAGUAACACGUGGAUAACCUACCUAUAAGACUGGGAUAACUUCGGGAAACCGGAGCUAAUACCGGAUAAUAUAUUGAACCGCAUGGUUCAAUAGUGAAAGACGGUUUUGCUGUCACUUAUAGAUGGAUCCGCGCCGCAUUAGCUAGUUGGUAAGGUAACGGCUUACCAAGGCAACGAUGCGUAGCCGACCUGAGAGGGUGAUCGGCCACACUGGAACUGAGACACGGUCCAGACUCCUACGGGAGGCAGCAGUAGGGAAUCUUCCGCAAUGGGCGAAAGCCUGACGGAGCAACGCCGCGUGAGUGAUGAAGGUCUUCGGAUCGUAAAACUCUGUUAUUAGGGAAGAACAAAUGUGUAAGUAACUAUGCACGUCUUGACGGUACCUAAUCAGAAAGCCACGGCUAACUACGUGCCAGCAGCCGCGGUAAUACGUAGGUGGCAAGCGUUAUCCGGAAUUAUUGGGCGUAAAGCGCGCGUAGGCGGUUUUUUAAGCCUGAUGUGAAAGCCCACGGCUCAACCGUGGAGGGUCAUUGGAAACUGGAAAACUUGAGUGCAGAAGAGGAAAGUGGAAUUCCAUGUGUAGCGGUGAAAUGCGCAGAGAUAUGGAGGAACACCAGUGGCGAAGGCGACUUUCUGGUCUGUAACUGACGCUGAUGUGCGAAAGCGUGG